RNAcentral lists this ribosomal RNA (924 nucleotides) under uncultured bacterium. Its description in RNAcentral is "bacterial SSU rRNA". It matches the Rfam family "Bacterial small subunit ribosomal RNA", at positions 51 to 965 of the family's 1533-position model. The record is from RNAcentral.
ACACAUGCAAGUCGAGGGGAAACGACAUCGAAAGCUUGCUUUUGAUGGGCGUCGACCGGCGCACGGGUGAGUAACGCGUAUCCAACCUGCCCACCACUUGGGGAUAACCUUGCGAAAGUAAGACUAAUACCCAAUGAUAUCUCUAGAAGACAUCUGAAGGAGAUUAAAGAUUUAUCGGUGAUGGAUGGGGAUGCGUCUGAUUAGCUUGUUGGCGGGGUAACGGCCCACCAAGGCUACGAUCAGUAGGGGUUCUGAGAGGAAGGUCCCCCACAUUGGAACUGAGACACGGUCCAAACUCCUACGGGAGGCAGCAGUGAGGAAUAUUGGUCAAUGGACGAGAGUCUGAACCAGCCAAGUAGCGUGCAGGAUGACGGCCCUAUGGGUUGUAAACUGCUUUUAUAAGGGAAUAAAGUGAGUCUCGUGAGACUUUUUGCAUGUACCUUAUGAAUAAGGACCGGCUAAUUCCGUGCCAGCAGCCGCGGUAAUACGGAAGGUCCGGGCGUUAUCCGGAUUUAUUGGGUUUAAAGGGAGCGUAGGCCGGAGAUUAAGCGUGUUGUGAAAUGUAGAUGCUCAACAUCUGCACUGCAGCGCGGACUGGUUUCCUUGAGUACGCACAAAGUGGGCGGAAUUCGUGGUGUAGCGGUGAAAUGCUUAGAUAUCACGAAGAACUCCGAUUGCGAAGGCAGCUCACUGGAGCGCAACUGACGCUGAAGCUCGAAAGUGCGGGUAUCGAACAGGAUUAGAUACCCUGGUAGUCCGCACGGUAAACGAUGGAUGCCCGCUGUUGGUCUGAAUAGGUCAGCGGCCAAGCGAAAGCAUUAAGCAUCCCACCUGGGGAGUACGCCGGCAACGGUGAAACUCAAAGGAAUUGACGGGGGCCCGCACAAGCGGAGGAACAUGUGGUUUAAUUCGAAGCAACGCGAA